CGAGCGAACUGGACGUGCGAUCUUGGGAAUCAGUCUCACACGCCACAACGCGAUAUUGAUAGAUUGGAAUAAUUAAAUCCAAAAUAAGGUGGUCACCCCGUGUGACAGCCGGAUUUUGUGGGUUUUUUCGCGAUUUUAUAGCGAUAAACGGAACCCCCGAGAAUCGUGGAGAUCAUGGAGAAGCAUAUGGGAUCCUGUGGACUAAUUUUACGCUGAAUUAAUCCGAGACAUCAGAGUUAAAAAAUUCUGUCAUAAAAUUUGAAAAAAUCACGAAAAAACCCCAAAAAAUGCGCUUGCCACACGGGGUGACCCUCUCAAGCCGAAUCAGUUUUUUAAAAAUAAAAAUCGUUUCAUUAUAGUACAUCCAAGUUGUUUCAGGUAUUUACAUACACACACAUACACACAC
Long non-coding RNA from Venturia canescens, 406 nucleotides. RefSeq lists it as uncharacterized. The record is from RefSeq and is a predicted model, not a curated record. The transcript has 3 exons. Lineage: Eukaryota; Metazoa; Arthropoda; Insecta; Hymenoptera; Ichneumonidae.